UACGUAGGUGGCAAGCGUUAUCCGGAAUUACUGGGCGUAAAGCGCACGCAGGUGGCUGCUUAAGUCUGACGUGAAAGCUCCUGGCUUAACUGGGAGAGGUCGUUGGAGACUGGGCGGCUUGAGGCGAGGAGAGGGGUGUAGAAUUCCCGGUGUAGUGGUGGAAUGCGUAGAGAUCGGGAGGAAUACCAGUGGCGAAAGCGGCACCCUGGCCUUGGCCUGACGCUCAGGUGCGAAAGCGUGGGGAGCGAACGGG
Molecule: ribosomal RNA, 253 nt
Filed under: uncultured bacterium
Lineage: Bacteria
Description: partial 16S ribosomal RNA
Rfam family: Bacterial small subunit ribosomal RNA
Source: RNAcentral